Molecule: ribosomal RNA, 491 nt
Filed under: uncultured bacterium
Lineage: Bacteria
Description: partial 16S ribosomal RNA
Rfam family: Bacterial small subunit ribosomal RNA
Source: RNAcentral
AGUGAACGCUGGCGGUAGGCCUAACACAUGCAAGUCGAACGGCAGCACAGUAAGAGCUUGCUCUUACGGGUGGCGAGUGGCGGACGGGUGAGGAAUACAUCGGAAUCUACUUUCCGUGGGGGAUAACGUAGGGAAACUUACGCUAAUACCGCAUACGACCUACGGGUGAAAGCAGGGGAUCUUCGGACCUUGCGCGAUUGAAUGAGCCGAUGUCGGAUUAGCUAGUUGGCGGGGUAAAGGCCCACCAAGGCGACGAUCCGUAGCUGGUCUGAGAGGAUGAUCAGCCACACUGGAACUGAGACACGGUCCAGACUCCUACGGGAGGCAGCAGUGGGGAAUAUUGGACAAUGGGCGCAAGCCUGAUCCAGCCAUACCGCGUGGGUGAAGAAGGCCUUCGGGUUGUAAAGCCCUUUUGUUGGGAAAGAAAAGCAGCAGGUUAAUACCCCGCUGUUCUGACGGUACCCAAAGAAUAAGCACCGGCUAACUUCGUG